Molecule: long non-coding RNA, 1050 nt
Organism: Portunus trituberculatus (swimming crab)
Lineage: Eukaryota; Metazoa; Arthropoda; Malacostraca; Decapoda; Portunidae
Exons: 2
Source: RefSeq, a predicted model, not a curated record
GUGGGCUGCUUGUCUUGUCUGAGGUGUGGCUCUGCCUUGCCAUUUUCCCAGAGGAAGGUCGGCCAGUGUGCCAGAAGCAAUCUCUUGGAUGCCAGACCACCGCCUUCCCAACCACGCCACGACUUGCACUCUUCUAACAUGCUCGACUAGAAUAACUACCCGGGAAAUACACUGCACAAUGUGAGAAAACUGUCGCCUUUCUUUUAACGUCUGUCCCAGAGGAACACCCACACGCGCCUCCACACACUCAUGCCAACGGCCUUCCCAGUCUUCCCCAGGGUGGAAGACGACUUCCUUAAAACUCGCCUCAGCUUGGUCUUCCCCUCCCAUCCCACGCGUCGCAAAGCAAGGAAGGCAUCAAACCUUGGAGUGAUGGCACUAUGAACACGUUCGUAUGUAUGAGAUUCCCUUCCAAUCCUUCCGGCGCCCCCUCAUUGCGUCCUUCACCAACCUAAAGGAAUAUCAAUGGAGAAACUCGUAAAGAAAAAAAUGUUGGGUGCAUUUCCUGGAACGUCCGCUGAUGACCUUACUCCACUCGAGCCACACUAUAAAAGGUGGACGGCUCUUCCCAGACACAACAGACGCAGCUUUUCCACUCAGAACAGCUGAACACUUUCCCACUCGGCAUCAUGCGAGCUCUGACCCUCCUGCUAGUGGUGGCCGUGGCCCUGACGGCGCUGGUGGUGGUGCAGGCCAUGCCAGAGCCCUUCCCCGACCCUGAGGCCCUCGCCGAUCCUGAUCCUUCUGCGAGCUUUGGCCGCGGAGGUGGAUAUGGUUUCGGACAUGGAUAUGGCUAUGGAGGCUAUGGUCGCGGUUAUGGCUACCGUGGUCGUGGUUAUUACAGGUAACGUCCUGGGCACCGAUAUCAUGGUGGGCGAGACGGUGCCAGGUACACAGUGGCAUCGCCGACCCUCAGCUUCCUGCCACAAGAGCGCCUUCACAAGUAAUUUUCUGCCUCGAAUCCGAUCAUACUUUUAAAGUAUCACUUUGUCACGAAACUGUAUACUCCUAGUAUAUCUCCCUGGAAAUAAAAAUAAAGUAUUGCAAAUA